AUUGAACGCUGGCGGCAUGCCUUACACAUGCAAGUCGAACGGUAACGGGCCUUCGGGUGCCGACGAGUGGCGAACGGGUGAGUAAUACAUCGGAACGUGCCCGAUCGUGGGGGAUAACGAGGCGAAAGCUUUGCUAAUACCGCAUACGAUCUACGGAUGAAAGCAGGGGACCGCAAGGCCUUGCGCGGACGGAGCGGCCGAUGGCAGAUUAGGUAGUUGGUGGGAUAAAAGCUUACCAAGCCGACGAUCUGUAGCUGGUCUGAAAGGAUGAUCAGCCACACUGGGACUGAGACACGGCCCAGACUCCUACGGGAGGCAGCAGUGGGGAAUUUUGGACAAUGGGCGCAAGCCUGAUCCAGCCAUGCCGCGUGCAGGAUGAAGGCCUUCGGGUUGUAAACUGCUUUUGUACGGAACGAAAAGCCUUCUUUUAAUACAGGAGGGUCAUGACGGUACCGUAAGAAUAAGCACCGGCUAACUACGUG
This 482-nucleotide ribosomal RNA is filed under the name uncultured bacterium. Its description in RNAcentral is "partial 16S ribosomal RNA". It matches the Rfam family "Bacterial small subunit ribosomal RNA", at positions 30 to 507 of the family's 1533-position model. The record is from RNAcentral.